AUUGAACGCUGGCGGCAGGCCUAACACAUGCAAGUCGAACGGUAACCGGAAACAGCUUGCUGUUUCGCUGACGAGUGGCGGACGGGUGAGUAAUGUCUGGGAAACUGCCUGAUGGAGGGGGAUAACUACUGGAAACGGUAGCUAAUACCGCAUAACGUCGCAAGACCAAAGAGGGGGACCUUCGGGCCUCUUGCCAUCGGAUGUGCCCAGAUGGGAUUAGCUAGUAGGUGGGGUAACGGCUCACCUAGGCGACGAUCCCUAGCUGGUCUGAGAGGAUGACCAGCCACACUGGAACUGAGACACGGUCCAGACUCCUACGGGAGGCAGCAGUGGGGAAUAUUGCACAAUGGGCGCAAGCCUGAUGCAGCCAUGCCGCGUGUAUGAAGAAGGCCUUCGGGUUGUAAAGUACUUUCAGCGGGGAUGAAGGGAGUAAAGUUAAUACCUUUGCUCAUUGACGUUACCCGCAGAAGAAGCACCGGCUAACUCCGUG
This 490-nucleotide ribosomal RNA is filed under the name uncultured bacterium. RNAcentral's name for it is "partial 16S ribosomal RNA". It matches the Rfam family "Bacterial small subunit ribosomal RNA", at positions 30 to 507 of the family's 1533-position model. The record is from RNAcentral.